This 337-nucleotide unclassified non-coding RNA is filed under the name soil metagenome. RNAcentral's name for it is "partial contains 5.8S ribosomal RNA, internal transcribed spacer 2, and large subunit ribosomal RNA". The stretch from base 1 to 120 matches the Rfam family "5.8S ribosomal RNA", at positions 35 to 154 of the family's 154-position model. The record is from RNAcentral.
GAUGAAGAACGCAGCGAAAUGCGAUAAGUAGUGUGAAUUGCAGAAUUCAGUGAAUCAUCGAAUCUUUGAACGCACAUUGCGCCCCUUGGUAUUCCAUGGGGCAUGCCUGUUCGAGCGUCAUUUGUACCUUCAAGCUCUGCUUGGUGUUGGGUGUUUGUCUCGCCUCUGCGUGUAGACUCGCCUUAAAACAAUUGGCAGCCGGCGUAUUGAUUUCGGAGCGCAGUACAUCUCGCGCUUUGCACUCAUAACGACGACGUCCAAAAGUACAUUUUUACACUCUUGACCUCGGAUCAGGUAGGGAUACCCGCUGAACUUAAGCAUAUCAAUAAGCGGAUGA